Molecule: ribosomal RNA, 720 nt
Filed under: Microbacterium hydrocarbonoxydans
Lineage: Bacteria; Bacillati; Actinomycetota; Actinomycetes; Micrococcales; Microbacteriaceae
Description: bacterial SSU rRNA
Rfam family: Bacterial small subunit ribosomal RNA
Source: RNAcentral
GACUCUGGGAUAAGCGCUGGAAACGGCGUCUAAUACUGGAUACGAACCAUGAAGGCAUCUUCAGUGGUUGGAAAGAUUUAUUGGUUGGGGAUGGGCUCGCGGCCUAUCAGCUUGUUGGUGAGGUAAUGGCUCACCAAGGCGUCGACGGGUAGCCGGCCUGAGAGGGUGACCGGCCACACUGGGACUGAGACACGGCCCAGACUCCUACGGGAGGCAGCAGUGGGGAAUAUUGCACAAUGGGCGCAAGCCUGAUGCAGCAACGCCGCGUGAGGGAUGACGGCCUUCGGGUUGUAAACCUCUUUUAGCAGGGAAGAAGCGAAAGUGACGGUACCUGCAGAAAAAGCGCCGGCUAACUACGUGCCAGCAGCCGCGGUAAUACGUAGGGCGCAAGCGUUAUCCGGAAUUAUUGGGCGUAAAGAGCUCGUAGGCGGUUUGUCGCGUCUGCUGUGAAAUCCGGAGGCUCAACCUCCGGCCUGCAGUGGGUACGGGCAGACUAGAGUGCGGUAGGGGAGAUUGGAAUUCCUGGUGUAGCGGUGGAAUGCGCAGAUAUCANGAGGAACACCGAUGGCGAAGGCAGAUCUCUGGGCCGUAACUGACGCUGAGGAGCGAAAGGGUGGGGAGCAAACAGCUUAGAUACCCUGGUAGUCCACCCCGUAAACGUUGGGAACUAGUUGUGGGGUCCAUUCCACGGAUUCCGUGACGCAGCUAACGCAUUAAGUU